Syzygium oleosum is the source of this 561-nucleotide long non-coding RNA. RefSeq lists it as uncharacterized. NCBI's taxonomy places the organism in Eukaryota, Viridiplantae, Streptophyta, Magnoliopsida, Myrtales, Myrtaceae. The record is from RefSeq and is a predicted model, not a curated record. The transcript is spliced from 2 exons.
GGUCACCAAGCAGAAGUCCCCAUUGGCCUACUCGGCUGUUCAUCUUAGGAGCCCGAAGCAGACACCCCCACAAGCGCUUGUUUCUUGGCAAUCCGUCAAGCCAUGGAGACCGCGGAACAAAAGCUGCUCGGCUUGGGAUGGAACGAAGGAGCAAAGGCAGCAACACCCGAAACCCUAGCCACUCGUUCUGUCAUCAUCGGUGUGCGUUCGACGGGGAUGAUAUUAAAUUAUGCAGGCGAUGUUUGCUGUGUACCCUCCAAAGCAGUUGAGGCCCAGGGCAAUUUAAUGUGGUGGUACGGGCUUUGAAAGUGACAAGCACAUGAACCCCAAGCAUUUUUUCUCUGCCCAAGGGGGAGAAGUAUCGGCAAGAAGUCGGGAUUGUGCUUAGAAAGUGUUGCCGAAUGCCAAGCAGUGGAGGGUGAACAAAGAUUGAAGGAUAGGUCCUCUUGUUUGGUUUUUUUGCUCCUUUUUUCCGACAGGAAACUCACAAAUCCGCCAUACUUUGUUUAAAUGAAAAGGGAGCGAGAUUCGCGUCAUUUGUGUGGCAUCCCUGAAUUAAUU